AGAAUCAACGCUGGCGGCGUGCCUAACACAUGCAAGUCGAACGAGAAAGUGGAGCAAUCCAUGAGUAAAGUGGCGCACGGGUGAGUAACACGUGACUAACCUACCCUUGAGUGGGGGAUAACCUCGGGAAACCGGGGCUAAUACCGCAUGAUAUCGAGAGAUCAAAGGAGCAAUUCGCUUAAGGAGGGGGUCGCGGCUGAUUAGCUAGUUGGUAGGGUAAUGGCCUACCAAGGCUAUGAUCAGUAUCCGGCCUGAGAGGGCGCACGGACACACUGGAACUGAAACACGGUCCAGACUCCUACGGGAGGCAGCAGUGGGGAAUUUUGCGCAAUGGGGGAAACCCUGACGCAGCAACGCCGCGUGGAGGAUGAAGUCCCUUGGGACGUAAACUCCUUUCGAUCGGGACGAUAAUGACGGUACCGGAAGAAGAAGCCCGGCUAACUUCGUGCCAGCAGCCGC
Molecule: ribosomal RNA, 459 nt
Filed under: uncultured bacterium
Lineage: Bacteria
Description: SSU rRNA
Rfam family: Bacterial small subunit ribosomal RNA
Source: RNAcentral